Molecule: non-coding RNA, 90 nt
Filed under: human gut metagenome
Description: TPP riboswitch (THI element)
Rfam family: TPP riboswitch aptamer (THI element)
About the family: Vitamin B(1) in its active form thiamin pyrophosphate (TPP) is an essential coenzyme that is synthesised by coupling of pyrimidine and thiazole moieties in bacteria. The previously detected thiamin-regulatory element, thi box was extended, resulting in a new, highly conserved RNA secondary structure, the THI element, which is widely distributed in eubacteria and also occurs in some archaea.
Source: RNAcentral
ACCGGGGAGCCCGUAAGAGCGGGCUGAGAGUUGGCUGUGCUGCCAAGACCCGUAUACCUGAUUUGGAUAAUGCCAACGUAGGAAGAAAUG